This 204-nucleotide long non-coding RNA is filed under the name Erythranthe guttata (spotted monkey flower). RNAcentral describes it as "long non-coding RNA (EGUT_LNC002838)". The record is from RNAcentral. Lineage: Eukaryota; Viridiplantae; Streptophyta; Magnoliopsida; Lamiales; Phrymaceae.
AAAGAAACAACAUAGUCAAUACUAAUGAGCUCAACUACAAUCCGAUUCACAAAACCAAACUAAAACCUGAAGAAUAUCAACAUAAACGUGCGAAUACUAGCCCCGUAAAAUUAAAUAAAACUUUAUUCUAUAACUGUGAUUCAAUCUAUAAUUAUUAUUCUGACCCGAAUAUCUCUAGCAGAUCCUUGUCAUUGACUUCGGUUC